ACGCUGACGAGUGGCGAACGGGUGAGUAAUACAUCGGAACGUGCCCGAUCGAGGGGGAUAACGGAGCGAAAGCUUUGCUAAUACCGCAUAAGAUCUGAGGAUGAAAGCAGGGGACCGCAAGGCCUUGCGCGAACGGAGCGGCCGAUGGCAGAUUAGGUAGUUGGUGGGGUAAAAGCCUACCAAGCCGACGAUCUGUAGCUGGUCUGAGAGGACGACCAGCCACACUGGGACUGAGACACGGCCCAGACUCCUACGGGAGGCAGCAGUGGGGAAUUUUGGACAAUGGGCGCAAGCCUGAUCCAGCCAUGCCGCGUGCAGGAUGAAGGCCUUCGGGUUGUAAACUGCUUUUGUACGGAACGAAAGGGUCUUGGUGAAUAACUGGGGCAGAUGACGGUACCGUAAGAAUAAGCACCGGCUAACUACGUGCCAGCAGCCGCGGUAAUACGUAGGGUGCGAGCGUUAAUCGGAAUUACUGGGCGUAAAGCGUGCGCAGGCGGUCAUGCAAGACAGAUGUGAAAUCCCUGGGCUCAACCUGGGAACUGCAUAUGUGACUGUAUGGCUGGAGUACGGCAGAGGGGGGAUGGAAUUCCGCGUGUAGCAGUGAAAUGCGUAGAUAUGCCGGAGGA
RNAcentral lists this ribosomal RNA (626 nucleotides) under uncultured earthworm intestine bacterium. RNAcentral describes it as "bacterial SSU rRNA". It matches the Rfam family "Bacterial small subunit ribosomal RNA", at positions 85 to 705 of the family's 1533-position model. The record is from RNAcentral.